This is an unclassified non-coding RNA of Pongo abelii (Sumatran orangutan), 148 nucleotides long. It matches the Rfam family "Metazoan signal recognition particle RNA". From Rfam's summary of the family: The signal recognition particle (SRP) is a universally conserved ribonucleoprotein. It is involved in the co-translational targeting of proteins to membranes. The eukaryotic SRP consists of a 300-nucleotide 7S RNA and six proteins: SRPs 72, 68, 54, 19, 14, and 9. NCBI's taxonomy places the organism in Eukaryota, Metazoa, Chordata, Mammalia, Primates, Hominidae. The record is from Ensembl.
GCCAGGCGUGGUGGCGCGUGCCUGUAAUCCCAGCUACUCAGGAGGCUGAGGCAGGAGAAUCACUUGAACCUGGGAGGUGCAGGUGGCAGUGAGCCGAGAUCACAUGACUGCACUCCAGCCUGGGUGACAGAGUGAGACUCUGUCUCAA